CCCAGACUCCUACGGGAGGCAGCAGUGGGGAAUAUUGCACAAUGGGGGAAACCCUGAUGCAGCGACGCCGCGUGGGUGAAGGAGCGUUUCGGCGCGUAAAGCCCUAUCGGCAGGGAAGAAGGAGGACGGUACCUGACUAAGAAGCCCCGGCUAACUACGUGCCAGCAGCCGCGGUAAUACGUAGGGGGCAAGCGUUAUCCGGAUUUACUGGGUGUAAAGGGGGCGCAGACGGCAGCGCAAGCCCGGAGUGAAAGCCCGGGGCCCAACCCCGGGACUGCUCUUGGAACUGCGCGGCUGGAGUGCAGGAGGGGCAGGCGGAAUUCCUGGUGUAGCGGUGAAAUGCGUAGAUAUCAGGAGGAACACCAGUGGCGAAGGCGGCUUACUGGACGGCAACUGACGCUGAGGCUCGAAAGCGUGGGGAGCAAACAGGAUUAGAUACCCGGGUAGA
This 448-nucleotide ribosomal RNA is filed under the name uncultured bacterium. RNAcentral's name for it is "partial 16S ribosomal RNA". It matches the Rfam family "Bacterial small subunit ribosomal RNA", at positions 330 to 794 of the family's 1533-position model. The record is from RNAcentral.